This 469-nucleotide ribosomal RNA is filed under the name uncultured bacterium. Its description in RNAcentral is "SSU rRNA". It matches the Rfam family "Bacterial small subunit ribosomal RNA", at positions 26 to 518 of the family's 1533-position model. The record is from RNAcentral.
AGGAUAAACGCUGGCGGCGUGCCUAACACAUGCAAGUCGAACGCGCUUUUUUCGCAAGAGGAGAGCGAGUGGCGGACGGGUGAGUAACACAUGGGUACCUACCUUGGAGUGAGGGAUACCGGCGAGAAAUCGCCGACAAUACCGCAUAGGCUUCUUCACAAGGGAAGCAAAGUGACGCGAGUCACGCUGUGAGAUGGGCCUGUGGCCGAUUAGCUAGUUGGGGGGGUAACGGCUUCCCAAGGCGACGAUCGGUAGCUGGUCUGAGAGGACGAUCAGCCACACUGGGAUUGAGAACGGCCCAGACUCCUACGGGGGGCAGCAGUGAGGAAUUUUCCGCAAUGGAGGCAACUCUGACGGAGCAACGCCGCGUGCAGGAGGAAGGUUUUCGGAUCGUAAACUGCUUUUCUCGGGGACGAGCAAGGACGGUACCCGAGGAAGAAGCCCCGGCUAACUACGUGCCAGCAGCCGC